RNAcentral lists this ribosomal RNA (491 nucleotides) under uncultured bacterium. RNAcentral's name for it is "partial 16S ribosomal RNA". It matches the Rfam family "Bacterial small subunit ribosomal RNA", at positions 29 to 507 of the family's 1533-position model. The record is from RNAcentral.
GUGCACGCUGGCGGUCGGCCUCACACAUGCCAGUCGCACGGCAGCACAGUAAGAGCUUGCUCUUACGGGUGGCGAGUGGCGGACGGGUGAGGAAUACAUCGGAAUCUACUUUUUCGUGGGGGAUAACGUAGGGAAACUUACGCUAAUACCGCAUACGACCUACGGGUGAAAGCAGGGGAUCUUCGGACCUUGCGCGAUUGAAUGAGCCGAUGUCGGAUUAGCUAGUUGGCGGGGUAAAGGCCCACCAAGGCGACGAUCCGUAGCUGGUCUGAGAGGAUGAUCAGCCACACUGGAACUGAGACACGGUCCAGACUCCUACGGGAGGCAGCAGUGGGGAAUAUUGGACAAUGGGCGCAAGCCUGAUCCAGCCAUACCGCGUGGGUGAAGAAGGCCUUCGGGUUGUAAAGCCCUUUUGUUGGGAAAGAAAAGCAGCAGGUUAAUACCCCGCUGUUCUGACGGUACCCAAAGAAUAAGCACCGGCUAACUUCGUG